GACGUAGGGCGCGAGCGUUGUCCGGAUUUAUUGGGCGUAAAGAGCUCGUAGGCGGCUUGUCGCGUCUGCCGUGAAAGUCCGGGGCUCAACUCCGGAUCUGCGGUGGGUACGGGCAGACUAGAGUGAUGUAGGGGAGACUGGAAUUCCUGGUGUAGCGGUGAAAUGCGCAGAUAUCAGGAGGAACACCGAUGGCGAAGGCAGGUCUCUGGGCAUUAACUGACGCUGAGGAGCGAAAGCAUGGGGAGCGAACAGG
This 253-nucleotide ribosomal RNA is filed under the name uncultured bacterium. RNAcentral describes it as "partial 16S ribosomal RNA". It matches the Rfam family "Bacterial small subunit ribosomal RNA", at positions 524 to 776 of the family's 1533-position model. The record is from RNAcentral.